RNAcentral lists this long non-coding RNA (451 nucleotides) under Chrysemys picta bellii (western painted turtle). RNAcentral's name for it is "lncRNA (ENSCPBG00000024761.1)". Lineage: Eukaryota; Metazoa; Chordata; Testudines; Emydidae. The record is from RNAcentral.
GGAAGAACAACUCCAGGAACUGCCUCUGAUAUGGUAUGCUUCCACUCCCUGAAUGCAGCCACGGUUGGUUAAUCCACAUUCUGUCCUUAAAUGGCCAAAUGGUAGAUAAUAAUUGGCUUGAUGAAGUAUGGUACAAUAUGUUUGGGUGGGGCAGUCCUGAUGGAAUGAGAGUGGGAUAAAUGGAAUUGACCUGGAAGGAAGAUACAGGAUUUACUUGGCUUGUCCAGGGCUACCCUACCAGAUCAAUGAUAGGAGAAUGAAUGCUUCCGUGAAUCAUUCGCUGUCCGUUUGGGAUGUAACGUUGGGCAUGGAUACCCAAGUCCAUCCAAUAGUCAUUUUAGGGUUUUAUGCUUGGAGGCUGGUAUACAUACCUGGAGGAGGACUAUGCAAAGAAAUAUGCUACGUGGCAAGAAAUGAACGUUUGAUCAGACUUGUACCUUUAGUGAGCUAA